Molecule: ribosomal RNA, 322 nt
Filed under: uncultured bacterium
Lineage: Bacteria
Description: bacterial SSU rRNA
Rfam family: Bacterial small subunit ribosomal RNA
Source: RNAcentral
UUAGCUGCAGAAGAAGCACCGGCUAACUCCGUGCCAGCAGCCGCGGUAAUACGGAGGGUGCGAGCGUUAAUCGGAAUUACUGGGCGUAAAGCGCAUGCAGGUGGUUUGUUAAGUCAGAUGUGAAAAGCCCGGGGCUCAACCUCGGAAUUGCAUUUGAAACUGGCAAACUAGAGUACUGUAGAGGGGGGUAGAAUUUCAGGUGUAGCGGUGAAAUGCGUAGAGAUCUGAAGGAAUACCGGUGGCGAAGGCGGCCCCCCUGGACAGAUACUGACACUCAGAUCGCGAAAGCGUGGGGAGCAAACAGGAUUAGAUACCCUGGUAG